GGAAAAGAAACCAACAGGGAUUGCCUCAGUAACGGCGAGUGAAGCGGCAACAGCUCAAAUUUGAAAUCUGGCCCUCGGGUCCGAGUUGUAAUUUGCAGAGGAUGCUUCGGGCGAGGCUUUGAUCGAGUCCCCUGGAAUGGGGCGCCACAGAGGGUGAGAGCCCCGUAUGAUCAGCCGCCGAACCCGUGUGAAGCUCCUUCGACGAGUCGAGUAGUUUGGGAAUGCUGCUCUAAAUGGGAGGUAAAUUUCUUCUAAAGCUAAAUACCGGCCAGAGACCGAUAGCGCACAAGUAGAGUGAUCGAAAGAUGAAAAGCACUUUGAAAAGAGAGUUAAAAAGCACGUGAAAUUGUUGAAAGGGAAGCGCCUAUGACCAGACUCGGGCUCUUGGGAUCAUCCGCCCUUCUGGGCGGUGCACUCCCUCGUUCUCGGGCCAGCAUCGGUUCUCCUCGGGGGAUAAAGGCGCCAGGAACGUGGCUCCCUUCGGGGAGUGUUAUAGCCUGGCGCGUCAUGCUCCGGGGGGGACCGAGGACCGCGCUUCGGCAUGGAUGCUGGCGUAAUGGUCACCGGCGACCCGUCUUGAAACACGGACCAAGGAGUCAAGCAUUAGGGCGAGUGUACGGGUGUAAAACCCGAACGCGCAGUGAAAGCGAACGCUGGUGAGAGCUUCGGCGCAUCACCGACCGAUCCUGAAGUCUUCGGAUGGAUUUGAGUAGGAGCCUUAACGCUUGGACCCGAAAGAUGGUGAACUAUGCCUGAAUAGGGUGAAGCCAGAGGAAACUCUGGUGGAGGCUCGCAGCGGUUCUGACGUGCAAAUCGCUCGUCAAAUUUGGGCAUAGGGGCGAAAGACUAAUCGAACC
Molecule: ribosomal RNA, 857 nt
Filed under: Ophioceras commune
Lineage: Eukaryota; Fungi; Ascomycota; Sordariomycetes; Magnaporthales; Ophioceraceae
Description: LSU rRNA
Rfam family: Eukaryotic large subunit ribosomal RNA
Source: RNAcentral